GACCGCGUAGCUCAGUCGGCAGAGCAUUGGACUAAUAUUCCAAAGGUCGUAGGUUCGAUUCCCACCGUAGCCA
Molecule: transfer RNA, 73 nt
Filed under: Paramuricea clavata
Lineage: Eukaryota; Metazoa; Cnidaria; Anthozoa; Malacalcyonacea; Plexauridae
Rfam family: tRNA
About the family: Transfer RNA (tRNA) molecules are approximately 80 nucleotides in length. Their secondary structure includes four short double-helical elements and three loops (D, anti-codon, and T loops).
Source: Rfam by way of RNAcentral